AUUGAACGCUGGCGGCAGGCCUAACACAUGCAAGUCGAACGGCAGCGGGGGAUAGCUUGCUAUCCUGCCGGCGAGUGGCGGACGGGUGAGUAAUGCAUGGGGAGCUGCCCAGUCGAGGGGGAUAACAACUGGAAACGGUUGCUAAUACCGCAUACGCCCUGAGGGGGAAAGGUGGGGAACUUCGGUCCUACCGCGAUUGGAUGCGCCCAUGUGGGAUUAGCUAGUGGGUGAGGUAACGGCUCACCAAGGCGACGAUCUCUAGCUGGUCUGAGAGGAUGACCAGCCACACUGGGAGUGAGACAGUGUCCAGACUCCGACGGGAGGCAGCAGUGGGGAAUAUUGGACAAUGGGGGAAACCCUGAUGCGGCCAUGCCGCGUGUGUGAAGGAGGCCUUCGGGUUGUAAAGCACUUUCAGUCAGGAGGAAGGGGUGAUGGCUAAUAUCCAUCAUCAUUGACGUUACUGACAGAAGAAGCACCGGCUAACUCCGUGCCAGCCGCCGCCGUAA
Molecule: ribosomal RNA, 506 nt
Filed under: uncultured bacterium
Lineage: Bacteria
Description: partial 16S ribosomal RNA
Rfam family: Bacterial small subunit ribosomal RNA
Source: RNAcentral